UACGUAGGGGGCUAGCGUUGUCCGGAAUCAUUGGGCGUAAAGCGCGUGUAGGCGGCCCGGUAAGUCCGCUGUGAAAGUCGGGGGCUUAACCCUCGGAUGCCGGUGGAUACUGUCGGGCUUGAGUACGGAAGAGGCGAGUGGAAUUCCUGGUGUAGCGGUGAAAUGCGCAGAUAUCAGGAGGAACACCUAUUGCGAAGGCAGCUCGCUGGGACGUGACUGACGCUGAGGUGCGAAAGCGUGGGGAGCAAACAGG
This 253-nucleotide ribosomal RNA is filed under the name uncultured bacterium. Its description in RNAcentral is "partial 16S ribosomal RNA". It matches the Rfam family "Bacterial small subunit ribosomal RNA", at positions 524 to 776 of the family's 1533-position model. The record is from RNAcentral.